GAAAGAUUAAGGCAUACAAUGAGGCUUGCAUCGAUGUUGUAUUCCAUCCUGUCAUGUCUAAUGUUGUUGCUUCAUGUAGUUGGAGUGGACAAGUUUCAGUUGCAGUAACCUGAAAUGUUAAAAAAAAAUUGUAUCAAGUUUUUAUUGUACAGUCUGUGUUUGAAGGGAAAUUUUGGACCAAUGGUAAAGUUAUCUCCGUGGGACCUAUUGGUCACAAGUUCGAGUCAUGGAAUGAAC
This 237-nucleotide unclassified non-coding RNA is filed under the name Hevea brasiliensis (rubber tree). Lineage: Eukaryota; Viridiplantae; Streptophyta; Magnoliopsida; Malpighiales; Euphorbiaceae. The record is from RNAcentral.